Long non-coding RNA from Populus euphratica (Euphrates poplar), 245 nucleotides. RefSeq lists it as uncharacterized. The record is from RefSeq and is a predicted model, not a curated record. Lineage: Eukaryota; Viridiplantae; Streptophyta; Magnoliopsida; Malpighiales; Salicaceae. The transcript has 3 exons.
AAAUAGAAAGGAGUUAAAUGAAAUAAGUUUAAAGAUAAUCCUUAUAUUCUACUGGUGGGACGUUAGUAGGAUUUCCUUCGGUAUCAGCUUUGAGUUCUGUUUGUUUUCGAGUCAGGCUUAUAGCUUGAUAGCAGGUCACUUUUGUUGGACCUUCAGAACCUGCUCUUUUAGUUGUAAAUUUGUACAUUUUUCUUUAUGUCUAGUUAGUGCUCCAAAACUAUGAAUUUAUAUAAAAUCUUGUAUUA